RNAcentral lists this ribosomal RNA (253 nucleotides) under uncultured bacterium. Its description in RNAcentral is "partial 16S ribosomal RNA". It matches the Rfam family "Archaeal small subunit ribosomal RNA", at positions 474 to 727 of the family's 1478-position model. The record is from RNAcentral.
UACCAGCACCCCGAGUGGUCGGGACGUUUAUUGGGCCUAAAGCAUCCUAGCCGGUUCGUACAAGUCUUCCGUUAAAUCCACCUGCUUAACAGAUGGGCUGCGGAAGAUACUAUAGAGCUAGGAGGCGGGAGAGGCAAGCGGUACUCGAUGGGUAGGGGUAAAAUCCGUUGAUCCAUUGAAGACCACCAGUGGCGAAGGCGGCUUGCCAGAACGCGCUCGACGGUGAGGGAUGAAAGCUGGGGGAGCAAACCGG